UGGCUUUAAUUGCACCACAUGUGUUUUUCUUUGAAACAAACUUGCUUUGGCGGUGGGCCCAGCCUGCCGCCAGAGGUCUAAACUUACAACCAAUUUUUUAUCAACUUGUCACACCAGAUUAUUACUUAAUAGUCAAAACUUUCAACAACGGAUCUCUUGGUUCUCGCAUCGAUGAAGAACGCAGCGAAAUGCGAUACGUAAUAUGAAUUGCAGAUAUUCGUGAAUCAUCGAAUCUUUGAACGCACAUUGCGCCCUCUGGUAUUCCGGAGGGCAUGCCUGUUUGAGCGUCGUUUCUCCCUCAAACCGCUGGGUUUGGUGUUGAGCAAUACGACUUGGGUUUGCUUGAAAGACGGUAGUGGUAAGGCGGGAUCGCUUUGACAAUGGCUUAGGUCUAACCAAAAACAUUGCUUGCGGCGGUAACGUCUACCACGUAUAUCUUCAAACUUUGACCUCAAAUCAGGUAGGACUACCCGCUGAACUUAAGCAUAUCAAUAAGGCGGAGGAA
RNAcentral lists this ribosomal RNA (505 nucleotides) under Candida albicans. RNAcentral describes it as "eukaryotic LSU rRNA". The stretch from base 137 to 290 matches the Rfam family "5.8S ribosomal RNA". Lineage: Eukaryota; Fungi; Ascomycota; Pichiomycetes; Serinales; Debaryomycetaceae. The record is from RNAcentral.